GAUGAACGCUGGCGGCGUGCCUAAUACAUGCAAGUCGAGCGAACGGACGAGAAGCUUGCUUUUCUGAUGUUAGCGGCGGACGGGUGAGUAACACGUGGAUAACCUACCUAUAAGACUGGGAUAACUUCGGGAAACCGGAGCUAAUACCGGAUAAUAUUUUGAACCGCAUGGUUCAAAAGUGAAAGACGGUCUUGCUGUCACUUAUAGAUGGAUCCGCGCUGCAUUAGCUAGUUGGUAAGGUAACGGCUUACCAAGGCAACGAUGCAUAGCCGACCUGAGAGGGUGAGCGGCCACACUGGAACUGAGACACGGUCCAGACUCCUACGGGAGGCAGCAGUAGGGAAUCUUCCGCAAUGGGCGAAAGCCUGACGGAGCAACGCCGCGUGAGUGAUGAAGGUCUUCGGAUCGUAAAACUCUGUUAUUAGGGAAGAACAGAUGUGUAAGUAACUGUGCACAUCUUGACGGUACCUAAUCAGAAAGCCACGGCUAACUACGU
Molecule: ribosomal RNA, 496 nt
Filed under: uncultured bacterium
Lineage: Bacteria
Description: partial 16S ribosomal RNA
Rfam family: Bacterial small subunit ribosomal RNA
Source: RNAcentral